RNAcentral lists this unclassified non-coding RNA (199 nucleotides) under uncultured Mycena. Its description in RNAcentral is "sequence contains ITS2". Lineage: Eukaryota; Fungi; Basidiomycota; Agaricomycetes; Agaricales; Tricholomataceae. The record is from RNAcentral. RNAcentral also lists the same sequence under 1 other name.
AAUUCUCAAAUCUCAGUCAGUUUUCUGAUCUUGAGACUUUGGAUGUGGGAGUUGCAGGCUUCUCAGAAGUCUGCUCUUCUUAAAUGCAUUAGUGGUUACUGAUUAACCAUAUCCUGGUGUGAUAAUAUCUACUCCAAGGAUUGGUUAGUAUUUAAAUGUAGCUGCUUCAAACAGUCCAUUAACUUGGACAAUUUGAACC